Molecule: non-coding RNA, 111 nt
Organism: Acanthosepion pharaonis
Lineage: Eukaryota; Metazoa; Mollusca; Cephalopoda; Sepiida; Sepiidae
Source: the annotation of a GenBank genome assembly
CAACCAUAUCACAUUGAAACACCGGUUCUCGUAGGAUCGCCGAAGUUAAGCAACGUCAAGCCUGAUCAGUACCUAGUUGGGUAACCUCUUGGGAAUAACAGCGGCUGUAAG